CCUAAUAAUGAAACACUAGAAAGUAAAGAACCAAAGGGUUGGAAGUAAAUUGACCUCUGUCUCGAAUUCCAAGCAAGGAACCCAACCCUUCCUAAGAAGGUAUUCUACUUCCUUUAAGAGUUGCUCUGUGGUGAGUGGUGGAAGGUAUGAAAGAGUCUCGAACUUCUUCUUGCCAACAGGAGGCCACACCUAGUAGCAUGCAUAAGAUUGAGUAAAUUGGUUAACAAAUUUGUCGUCAAGGACUUUAAUACUAUCAUUUAGUACAUGUUUCAAAUCUCUUCCGCAAUUAUGGGAAGAAACUUACGUGAGUGUCUUCUUUGUCAGAAUUGGUUAGAAUGGAAUAGCUAGAAGCUGUGGUACAAAAAUUUGUAGCAUUGUAAUCAUUUUGAGGCAUCUUACCUGCAUGCAUUGUACUCUUCCACCGUUGUUUGCAAUGGAGGUAAUGUCAUUGUUUGUCUUUCUAACUGGGAAGCCAGCCAUGGACUUGAGGCCAGUGAAUGGAGCCACCAUGCUGGCCUGUGCCGGAGAGGCACCUUUAAUGGUGGUGGCGGCAGCUGAGGAGGUGAUCAUAGAGGAAGCCAUUUUUUCUCCUUUUUCAGUUCUCUAGUCAGAAAUACUUGCAAAGCUUCUACUCAAACAGGGUAUAUAUAUUGCCGAAAUGAUAAACAUUGUAGAAUAUGAACCAAAGAAAUCAUAUCAUGAUAAGAGCUUGACGCCACAGCCAGUGUAGUCCACAAAAUUAUAUCUGGGUUGUAAUAAUCCUCCCCCAAGAACAACUUUUUAGAAUUUUCUUCAGGGAAAAACUCAAAAGGAUAUGUUAAUGGACCCGAAUUUUAAAAUUUGAAACAGAAACUUGAGAAAUUAGCCUUGGGUUUGAGUCAGGGAAAAGUUAUACUCCCUCCGUUCCUUAUUAUAAGGCCAUUUUUUAGAGUUUUUUUUGUUCCUAAAUAUAAGUCCAUUUCAAAUAUUUAGGUAGCAUUGAUUAGUUUUUUCCAAACUUACCCUUACAUUUAAAACUUAAUAUUUCAGUUUUUCAUAUUUUAGUCUAUUUCCAAUGCCACUAUCAUUCACUAACCUUAACUCUACAAAUUCAAGUUUUUCAUCUAUUGGAUUACUUAGUGGACUACAAGAGUAUUAAUUAAAUGCAUUAUAUGGAGUACAAUUCUAGAGAUAGUGGGAUAUUAAUUUGGACUGAGAAUUAGUAAUUGAAGUGUUUAUAAGUAAGAAUAAUUUAGUAAAGUUAAUUAAAAAGUCUUACAAAUUUAUUGCACUUAACUAACUUUAACCACUUUUCUUAAUCCUAGAUAUUUAGGUAAAAUAGACUUAUAAUAAGGAACGGAGGGAGUACCAUAUAACAUAUUUUAACCUUUUAUGUUUGAAACAUUGCGUGUCAAGCUGAGAGUCCUAUUUCAGCUAACGUGGCCACAAGAUUCAAUAGCAUCUCUAUUGGCUUAAAGGUUUUGCAACCAAGCAAGUACCACGAUGGCGGCUAAGAUGACUUAGUUGUGGAACAUUCUGUCCUGACGUAGAUCGAGCGGAUUUUUCCGACUUAUUAAGUACAUUGCAAGGUUACUCAAAGGUAAUCAUCAUCCUGGAAGACUUUCCUUGAGGCUUCCUAAAGACUUCAAGUCACAAAUACGUUGGUUACCGAGCCUAGAAGUACAAGUUUAGUUGUUUCGCUAAGCAUUAUUCAUUAUGAAAACUUUGAGUUCUUAGACUAUGAAAUUCUUUUUUUUUUUUUUGCUCUUUCACUAACUUGAGCGACAGAGUGCCUUCUGCAAGUACACCCCCGCCGUGUCAAUGCUCUACCAUGCUAGAGAAGCCUUCUCAGAUCGCGCACCACCACCGAAGACAAAGUAGAACCACCAAUCUCAAUUCAUGAAUAAUAGAUAUGAAAUUGAAACUUAGGCGAUUAGGGAAUGUAAUAUUGUAGACAAAGGCGUAAAGAAUUAAAAGUUGACACACUUUUUUACUGAUGAAACACUUCAUCCCUAACAAAGAGAGUUUUUUCAUUCAAUCUAGUCAAAUUACUGACAACCUUGACCCUCAGUAAUUUACCGAUGAAAAAGUCGUUGGUACAUUUCCGACGAUCUUAGUCGUCGUAGACAUACUAACAUAAGUGGUCGUCAGUAACUUCCACUACAAGAAUAUGAUUGUAUUGCUCUUGUUAGAGUUUGAUUAAUCUAAAUUUAUAAGUUUCGUUUAGCUUGACUAAUACUCUAAUCUUAUUACUUUUUGAAACAAAAGAAAGAUACACAAUACUUUUUCUUGCAAUGACUAUUUUUUAUUUGGUGAAUUUUGUGGUACCCAAAAAUUAUUUUGGGUAUGAUACCCGCAUUAAGUGAUUUAGUAGAUUAUUGUCAUGUGAAAUAGGAUUUUAACCGUCAAGGUUUAUUGAUGAUAGAGAUGACGACAUCUGGAGAUCGUGACCGUGAAUGAUUGUACUCAGCACCUUUGUUUUGAACAGAUUUUUGGCGAUACAGGGGAGAAGAAGGGUUGUGAACUGUCUAGAGGAUUACUUUGCAAAUAAUGAUAAGAAUAUUAACAUUUAAAAUUUAGAGCAUAUUUUUUUUAUUAGUACACAUCAUUUAGAGUAUGUGUGAUUCAAUUAGAACAUGUCUCUUAUUGAUACACAUCAUUUUAGGUACCAUACCUUGAUCUAGAUUAAGGUAUGAUAGCAAGCCCUUUAAGUCCAUACCUUUUUAUUUUCUCAUUUCUUCCCCAAUUUUUCGUAAUUAGAUUUCCAUUUUCUGAAGUAUUUAGUCAAGUAGCAACAUGAACCUCUUAUCUGUUUCUUUAUCUCCCUGCGGUCUUUUCCACAAAUGUUGCUAUCUAAAGGGAACAGUAUUUAAUGCAACCUUAAAGGCUAAGUUGAGCUGUUAUUUAUCAUGAUUCACAAAUCCCACAACCGCUACUGAUUAACCAAUUAGCAAUUCAUCACAAAAUUGACUAUUUUGGAGGAAAUAACAUUUCUCUAUCACAAAAAUGACCUCAGACUAAUUAUGAGCCAAUGAUCCGAUUCUAACAAAGAUUAGGGUUUUGAUGGUUCAAAAAAAUGUUGCAUAUUUUUUAUACAAAAACUUAAGGCAGGGGAUGUUGACUCAGUUCAAGAUUGAGAAAGUUGUUGGGCACGAUACGCAUAUAGAGAAGACUUACAUUUAACUCGCCUCAAGGGGAUGAAGGAAGGCUCGAACUUGCACCAUACCAAAUAUGUGUCCCUGUUUUGCUCCACUCGACCAACCCCUUGCGUUUGAAUUUGUUUUAUUUUGAUAGUAAGAGAGCUUGAUAAAAUCCAAUUAAUUAUAUUGGCUUUAUGUUGAAUUUGGAUUCGUUUAACCUUCAGAAGUAGAAUGUAAGUAGCAGAAAGGAGAGUGAAGAAAUGCCUCCAAUAAAAACCUAUACUGGUCUGUAGCAUGUGUUUUGUUAUCUUUGCAUCUGUGCUAAUAAGUCAAUCAAAGGUAUAGCAAAUUGGUCAGGUAAAUAUAGAGUGCAAAAGUUGUAAAAGUUAUUUGUAACAGAAGCUCGGCAAACAUAUUUGUUACCAAGGAUACCAUGAUUUUCUAUUUGGUAUUUGAAAGUUUCGUAGCUUCAUGGCCAACAGAAGUACAGACUGUACAGUUCAAGUAUACUUCAUGUUGGGUUAAAACUUAAAAGCCUUUUGAACUUCAACGGACAGAUAAGAAGCUAUUUGAACUUACAUGUCCUUAUUUGUAAGCAUUUUGCUCCAUUGUGUUGGACUUACAACUUCCUUACAUUCUUAAACAAAAUACCAUUUUGUAUUUGAAGUGGGCAUGGAGAUAAACACUUCAAAGAUUCAUGGUAACAUAAACGGACUUUCAUUCCUAUCCUAAGAAGAGUUCCGUUUACAUUUUAUCUUAAAGUGAAAUAUCCAUUUUCACUAAUACAAACGGAUAACCAAAUACAUCAUAGCUCGUUUAUGCAUUGGUCAUAGACAUUCUGACUCUGCAAUGACAUUAUUAGUAUACACAACAAUUCAGAACAUCGAUUUAUACAUUUUUUUAAAGGGAGGUGUGAGGCUGUUCCUUUCUGUCACUUUACCUUAAUAUCAUACAUAAGGACAACCAUUUAGUUCAUUUAUUUAUAAAACAUUGCAUAAAUUUCAAACUAGAAGGACAACCACAGAUAAUGGGUUCUUGAGAAAUUUGGGAACAAUGAAAUUGCUCAGUCAAGAGCUCUUAUCCAUUCAUUUGCAUAUGCAAAUUGAAACUCAAAUAAAAAAUGCCAAAAUAUAGGAUGGCAUUUCUCUUGAAAAAAGAAAAAGAAAAAACUGAACACAUGGGAAGAAGGGGAGGCUACAAAUGCCUUUUUGUAUGUAGAUUUCAAACUUAGUAGCCUGCUGGUCUGUGUGCAAUGAAACUGAUGCACUGCACUUGGCGAACAUUGUCGAAUCCAAUGAUGCGCACAAAAGCGUUGGGGUAUGCCUUCACAGCCUCAUCAAGUUCCUUCAACACCUGGGUAGCAUCACUGCAUCCAAACAUGGGGAGCUUCCACAUGGUCCAGUAGCGUCCGUCAUAGUAUCCAGGUGACUUGUGGUUCUCACGGUAGACAAAGCCUUUCUGCACACACAAAAUGCAGCAACAGAUCAUCAAUCAUCAAAGCUAAAAGUUUAAUUAACAUGUUUGGAUCGGUACCGAUACACAAUUCUAAGCACGGUAACUCGAGAAGCUACACUUUGUGGAGUUUCCUACCGCAAAACCAAACAAG
RNAcentral lists this long non-coding RNA (4725 nucleotides) under Lotus japonicus. RNAcentral's name for it is "long non-coding RNA (LJAP_LNC001169)". The record is from RNAcentral. Lineage: Eukaryota; Viridiplantae; Streptophyta; Magnoliopsida; Fabales; Fabaceae.